GCCUCGAUAACUCUGUCCAUUUCCAUGGUAGCACUCCUACAUUGAAGGCCUUGGAUCAAUCAGUGCUGAAUUAAAACAGAAAAAUUCAAGAUGGACAUGAGAAAACAAACAAACACAAAAGCAACAGAUUCCUACCAUUCUGGAAAUGUAAUUCACAGGCUCGAGAGCCCCAUUUCUUGGAAUCUACAAUGCUGAAGAUUGCAUUGAAUGCUGUCUAUUAGAGGAAAUCCUUGGAGAAGUUACUGGCUUGGAAAUAGUCACACAUCUGACAGCAUGUUACAAUAGGAAUUUUGGAUUGGACACUGAGAUAGCCCGUUUUACAACAAGGACUUCAUAUAGUAUUGUGCAAGGUGGAACUAACAUAGGGUUCCUCAACGAAAUAAUGGCAUCCAGGAUGAUAUCAAUCCCAGGCCAGCCUUCUAACUCUAUGUACUCAAAAUGUAGUGAAAAGCCUCUAUGUUACCCAUGGAAAACCAUCGUGCAAAUAGUAUUGCUGUCUCUCGAUGCCGUAUCAGAUGAACAUGAGAAAACAAACAAACACCAAAAGAACAGAUUCCUACCAUUCUAGAAAUGCAGACUUCAUACAGUACUGCGAAAGGUGGAACUAACAUAGAGUUCCUCAAUGAAAUAAUGGCAUCCAGGAUGAUAUCAAUCCCAGGCCAGCCUUCUAACUCUAUGUACUCAAAAUGUAGUGAAAAGCCUCUAUGUUACCCAUGGAAAACCAUCGUGCAAACAGUAUUGCUGUCUCUCGAUGCUGUAUCAGUCCACAGACAGCAAGGGCAGUACCACUGCAGUGGCAGUGGCAGAUGGGCUUUCAGUCGCCUCUGGGAGCUCCAUCCCACAGAAACACAGAGA
This 855-nucleotide long non-coding RNA is filed under the name Homo sapiens (human). RNAcentral's name for it is "HSALNT0338154". Lineage: Eukaryota; Metazoa; Chordata; Mammalia; Primates; Hominidae. The record is from RNAcentral.